Molecule: unclassified non-coding RNA, 263 nt
Filed under: fungal sp.
Lineage: Eukaryota; Fungi
Description: partial internal transcribed spacer region
Rfam family: Eukaryotic small subunit ribosomal RNA (bases 1-46)
Source: RNAcentral
AAGUCGUAACAAGGUUUCCGUAGGUGAACCUGCGGAAGGAUCAUUAUUGAAAAAAAAUAACAUCCACACCUCUGUGCAACCCCACCUUUUUUUAUAUAUAUGGCAAAAGAGUCGAUUUUUUUUCCUUGGGUUUUUAUAACUCUCGGGGGAGAAUAGACUUUUUCCCAUUAUAUUUUACCUAUACGUUUGAAACUUAUUUUCUGUAAAAAGGAAAAUGUAUGACAAACAAAAAACAACUUUCAGCAACGGAUCUCUUGGCUCUC